This 253-nucleotide ribosomal RNA is filed under the name uncultured bacterium. RNAcentral's name for it is "partial 16S ribosomal RNA". It matches the Rfam family "Bacterial small subunit ribosomal RNA", at positions 524 to 776 of the family's 1533-position model. The record is from RNAcentral.
UACGAAGGGGGCUAGCGUUGUUCGGAAUUACUGGGCGUAAAGCGCGUGUAGGCGGGCCGUUAAGUCUGGGGUGAAAGCCCAGAGCUUAACUCUGGAAUUGCCUUCGAUACUGGCGGCCUGGAGCAUGAUAGAGGCGAGUGGAAGUGCGAGUGUAGAGGUGAAAUUCGUAGAUAUUCGCAGGAACACCAGUGGCGAAGGCGACUCGCUGGCUCAUUGCUGAAGCUGAGACGCGAAAGCGUGGGGAGCAAACAGG